RNAcentral lists this microRNA precursor (197 nucleotides) under Medicago truncatula (barrel medic). RNAcentral describes it as "MIR2670 microRNA precursor family". It matches the Rfam family "MIR2670 microRNA precursor family". Lineage: Eukaryota; Viridiplantae; Streptophyta; Magnoliopsida; Fabales; Fabaceae. The record is from Rfam by way of RNAcentral.
UCGGGGUAAAAUAGUGAGAAGCCGACAUGGGGAACUGAUCGAUCCUUGGGAUAAGUUUAAUUUUUUUUUUUACUCCAUAAACUUUUUACCGUGGGUAAAAAGAUUCUUAUUAGGGUAUAAAGAAAAUCAAAUUUAAAUUUAGCCCAAGAGUUGAUGAUGUAUUUUUCCCAUGAAGGCUGCUCACUAUUUUACCCCAU